AUAUUAGACACCAUAUGAAACCACAGCCCCUCUCACAGGAUAUACCCAUAGAUAUUAGACACCAUAUGAAACCACAGCCCCUCUCACAGGAUAUACCCAUAGAUAUUAGAUAUUAGACACCAUAUGAAACCACAGCCCCUCUCACAGGAUAUACCCAUAGAUAUUAGACACCAUAUGAAACCACAGCCCCUCUCACAGGAUACACCCAUAGAUAUUAGACACCAUAUGUAACCACAGCCCCUCUCACAGGAUAUACCCAUAGAUAUUAUAUAUUAGACACCAUAUGAAACCACAGCCCCUCUCACAGGAUAUACCCAUAGAUAUUAGAUAUUAGACACCAUAUGAAACCACAGCCCCUCUCACAGGAUAUACCCAUAGAUAUUAGAUACCAUAUGAAACCACAGCCCCUCUCACAGGAUAUACCCAUAGAUAUUAGAUAUUAGAUACCAUAUGAAACCACAGCCCCUCUCACAGGAUAUACCCAUAGAUAUUAGAUACCAUAUGAAACCACAGCCCCUCUCACAGGAUAUACCCAUAGAUAUUAGAUACCAUAUGAAACCACAGCCCCUCUCACAGGAUAUACCCAUAGAUAUUAGACACCAUAUGAAACCACAGCCCCUCUCACAGGAUAUACCCAUAGAUAUUAGACACCAUAUGUAACCACAGCCCCUCUCACAGGAUAUACCCAUAGAUAUUAGACACCAUAUGAAACCACAGCCCCUCUCACAGGAUAUACCCAUAGAUAUUAGAUAUUAGAUACCAUAUAUAACCACAGCUCCUCUCACAGGAUAUACCCAUAGAUAUUAGAUAUUAGAUACCAUAUAUAACCACAGCCCCUCUCACAGGAUAUACCCAUAGAUAUUAGACACCAUAUGAAACCACAGCCCCUCUCACAGGAUAUACCCAUAGAUAUUAGAUAUUAGACACCAUAUGAAACCACAGCUCCUCUCACAGGAUAUACCCAUAGAUAUGUUGAAGCCCCCAUAUACAGCCAUGUCAGAAUACUGAGAGAACCAGGUUUCUGACACUAGCCAGGAUAAUGAAGUGUGUGGGUGUGUGAGAGAAAGGUGCACCCUUGAAGAAGCCAG
Molecule: long non-coding RNA, 1088 nt
Filed under: Salmo salar (Atlantic salmon)
Lineage: Eukaryota; Metazoa; Chordata; Actinopteri; Salmoniformes; Salmonidae
Description: lncRNA (ENSSSAG00000093758.1)
Source: RNAcentral